AUGGCGACCGGCGCACGGGUGAGUAACACGUAUCCAACCUACCGAUAAUCUGGAAUAGCCUUUCGAAAGAAAGAUUAAUACCGGAUAGCAUACGAAUAUCGCAUGAUAUUUUUAUUAAAGAAUUUCGGUUAUCGAUGAGGAUGCGUUCCAUUAGUUUGUUGGCGGGGUAACGGCCCACCAAGACUACGAUGGAUAGGGGUUCUGAGAGGAAGGUCCCCCACAUUGGAACUGAGACACGGUCCAA
This 244-nucleotide ribosomal RNA is filed under the name uncultured bacterium. Its description in RNAcentral is "partial 16S ribosomal RNA". It matches the Rfam family "Bacterial small subunit ribosomal RNA", at positions 88 to 334 of the family's 1533-position model. The record is from RNAcentral.